CAACAGUAUCCUCCUUGGACAAGUGUGUUAAUUGUGUGGGACCCGUAUCUUCCUUCAAGUGGCUUGGCUAUCGAUGCACAGUUUGUUCAGGGGUCUGGCAUAAAUCCUGCCUCAAGCAAAUUACAGGAGAUUACUUGCACAGCACAGCACAGGCACAGCAGUCUUCUGAGGCUUCUGAGG
This is a long non-coding RNA of Perca flavescens (yellow perch), 180 nucleotides long. RefSeq lists it as uncharacterized. Lineage: Eukaryota; Metazoa; Chordata; Actinopteri; Perciformes; Percidae. The transcript has 3 exons. The record is from RefSeq and is a predicted model, not a curated record.